RNAcentral lists this ribosomal RNA (259 nucleotides) under uncultured bacterium. RNAcentral describes it as "partial small subunit ribosomal RNA". It matches the Rfam family "Bacterial small subunit ribosomal RNA", at positions 26 to 285 of the family's 1533-position model. The record is from RNAcentral.
AGGACGAACGCUGGCGGCGUGCUUAACACAUGCAAGUCGAACGGUGAAGGGACCUUCGGGUCCCGGAUCAGUGGCGAACGGGUGAGUAACACGUGGGCAACCUGCCCCUAGCUCUGGAAUAACCCCGGGAAACCGAGGCUAAUACCGGAUAGGACUGCUUGUCGCAUGGUGGGUGGUGGAAAGUUUUUUCGGCUGGGGAUGGGCCCGCGGCCUAUCAGCUUGUUGGUGGGGUGAUGGCCUACCAAGGCGGUGACGGGUA